CAGUAGCCGCGGUAAUACGUAGGGUGCAAGCGUUAAUCGGAAUUACUGGGCGUAAAGCGUGCGCAGGCGGUUAGAUAAGCCAGAUGUGAAAUCCCCGAGCUCAACUUGGGAACUGCGUUUGGAACUGUUUAACUAGAGUGCGUCAGAGGGGGGUGGAAUUCCGCGUGUAGCAGUGAAAUGCGUAGAGAUGCGGAGGAACACCGAUGGCGAAGGCAGCCCCCUGGGAUGACACUGACGCUCAUGCACGAAAGCGUGGGGAGCAAACAGGAUUAGAUACCCCCGUAGUCCCUGUCUCUUAUAC
Molecule: ribosomal RNA, 301 nt
Filed under: uncultured bacterium
Lineage: Bacteria
Description: partial 16S ribosomal RNA
Rfam family: Bacterial small subunit ribosomal RNA
Source: RNAcentral